This 3163-nucleotide unclassified non-coding RNA is filed under the name Leishmania donovani. RNAcentral's name for it is "gene:LdHU3.19.1390(CDS-product:hypothetical_prote in_conserved)". Lineage: Eukaryota; Euglenozoa; Kinetoplastea; Trypanosomatida; Trypanosomatidae. The record is from RNAcentral.
CAAACCCCUCACCACCCAUCAGAUCACGCAAGCAUCUCCAUUUUGUUCUCUCUUUCUCUCUCGAACGCACACACACACACACAUACAUAGGUACGCCCAAGGACAACGACAGCCCCUCCGCGCAGCCAUGACCGCUCUCAUCACGAAGCAACGGUACAACUGGAUGGGGUACGAUGGUAUCGAGUCGGUGGAAUGUGACACGGCUCUCCUGCGCUCCGAUGUCAGUUCGGCGAACAACUACAACUACAUGCAUCGCCAGCAAGUGAUUAUGGAGCUGAAGGAGCGCCUGUACCGCAUCAAGCGUGAUCUCGGCCUCAUCCCCGAGGAGGAGCUGCGCGCUGAGGAGGAGGCCCUCCAGCGCCGUCGCAUGGAGAAGAAGCGUCGCGAGGCAGAAGAGCGCAUGCGCAAGGAGGCCGAGGAGGCCGCCCGUGCCGAGGAGAUGGAACGCCGGCGUCUGGAGCUUGAGGAGGCCGAGGAGAGGGCCAGCGCCCAGGAGGCCGCGGCCCAAGCCAGUGCCGAGCGCAAGCGCUACAUGGACGACAGCGACGAGGAUAGCGACGGGGAGAACGGCAUCGAUGAUGAGCAGAGUGCCAGCCUCGUAGCUAUGCUCCGCACGCAGGCGGAAAUCAACAGCGCCAUCGUGGGCUUUACCAAGGGUACCCGUAUGCUGCUCGCCUCCUCCGGCAACGGCUACAUCAGUUACCUCGACGGGAGCAUGCACUUCACAAUCGCCAAGGUCGAGAAGUACAAUGCCUCCAAGCGCGAGAGGGUGAUGGAGGCGCUGGCCGGCACCAACGUUGCCGUGCCUACCGCCGAGGAGUACUCGCUGGAGGAGGUGCGGCAGGCAAUGAACGCCUGCGACACAGCGCGUAAGAAGCUGGACGUCCUUCGCGCUCUCCAGGAUCCCACGUACACGGCGCGCAUCCGCUCGGCCGAGAAGGACACUUACGGCACCCCGGUGCAGCAACUGACGGAGGAGGACGGCGACAUGUCUGCCCUGGUCGCCAACUGCGAGGACGCGAAGCGGUUUGCAGAGAGUGUGCGCAAGGCGUACAACAAGAAGGCUGCGGCGAGCGGUCACGCCCUUGCGUGCGCGCUCUGCAUGUGCCCCUUCACUGCCGAGCAGGAAAGUACAAGCGAGGCCCAGGCCGCUGCUGGGGAAGAGAGGGCCAACGCAGAAGAGAAGGUGUCGAAGACCGCUGGCACGAAGUCGCCCUCAUCGUCGGCGAUGUCGGCGCAGUAGGGCGCUGAUGCCGGUCUCGCCGCUAUCGCACCCGGUGGCGCGGGGCAGGGCAUGAUAGGAAUAGGAGAAGGGGCCCUAAGAAGGUCAUGCACACGGCAACCGAUGAAGCGCUUCUCGUGUGGGGCUGAGGGAGGUCGAAUGAGCAACAAGGUACACACAGCCGUGCACAUGCCCACUCAAAUGGACGCACCACGGGACAGCAGGGUGGGUCGGAGAGGUUGGUCUGCGAGUAGUGUGAGGCGUGUAAGAAAAGGAGCUGCUGCGUGCACACACGGGCACGUGCCUCGCGCGCGCAUACGCGUGUGUGUCGCUCUGUUGUGACCUUUCUCCCUCACAUGAGUCCAGCUCGCCACUCCACUUGCACGGCGCAUGUGUCUUCAUGGCCGCAUCCCCUACUGCAAUGCCCUCAUCCCACCUCGGUUCUAUGCGCGGAGGUGGGCAACUGUGCGGAAGUGCAUGGGUAUGCAUGGUGACGCACUCGCUCGCGACUGUCGUGGCGGUCAUUGCCCUUGUCAUGUGCCUUUGUCGCUGCCGGUUGCGUCUCGCGACGGGAGGAAGCGCAUGCGCGCGCGAACGCAGACAUUACGCGUGCAACCUGCGCCGUAUUUGUGCCCUCUUCUUUGCUCGCUCCUUUCUCUCUCUUUCUCCCUUGGCUUGGAUCCUUUUCAUUUCCCUUCCGUCUCGUGUCAUGUGCGGCGCGUCUUUUUGCUGCCUCGCGGCGCUUCAAACAGCAGAGGGGGACGGUGAAGCGAAGUGCCGCCGCGGCAAGGUACAGGCACGUUGCGAUGCACAGAGAGGAGAGAGGGAGAAACCCAGAUAUCGUUCCACCCCUAGGCGCGCCCACAACCGGCAGCACUCCCUCACCGAUGAACGUGGCGGAGGCAGCAGGAAACCGCCCGACAAGGUAGCGAGGGCCACAGCGGGAAGCCAACCGUGAGAGCACGCAAGCAAGGAACCAACGAUGGUGUAGUGCCCCUCAUCUGUGUUAUCUUUUUACUUUGUUAUCUUCUCCGAUUCCAGGAAACCAACAGCGGAAAUAAGAAGCGAACCACAUUCCGAAAGCGAGGACCUGUCAGCACGCGUGUAUCGCUCGCAUCCACUACGCACACACACACACACAUACGCUCACACUUUUCGAUUUUAUCUUCCACCCCACCUGUACGUCCUCCCCUCCUUUGUGUUUCUUUCUUUCUCUAUGUGUUUUUGUUUUUAUUCUGUUGGCGUGUGUGUGUGUGUGUGUGUGGUUGUGUGUGUAGUGGACGAGAUCCGUUCUUUUCCUCCUGCCAUGGUGUGUGUGUGCGCGCGCAGUUGUCUUGGUGAUUACGUCUGGGUGUUUCUGCGAUCCCCAAUUUGAAGAGUGGAAGUGGGGAGGGGCACAGGGCACAUCGUCCUUGUCUCUGUUCUUCUCUGCGUGAUCGAGCGUGUCUGUGCACACGCGCAUGUGUGCAUCCGCCGCUUCCUCUGCGUCUUCCUCGUAUCUUCAUGUCGGCCUCUCGUAGGACAGAAAGCGCUCGACGGGCCAAGCAAAGUGCAACGAAAGAAUCCUGCGCGUGUGCGGAGAUCACCAGAGAACGCAUGUGGGGCAUCCCGGUCGCUGGCGCGGCGUGCCGGCUUGCUCUUCUCUGUAGCGACAUCAAGGAGAGGUAGAGACGAUGGUGUGCGCAGAGACCGACAGAGAGAGGGUGCUAGAAGACGUGAGAACGAGCAAGAGAGGAUAGCAGAUCGUUGCUCUCCUCUCCCCCUUCCCGCCAUCGGAUGCUGCGCCUCUCUCUACGACUUAUUCAUCAUACAUGAAGCCCCCUCCCCCGCUGCAACCUCGAUGGCAACGUCACCACAUACGGCACACAUCCCUUUUCGCUCGCUCUCGCUCCCUUGCCUUCACCCACCCCCCUCUCUGUCGCUCGCUCGCUCUCUUCGUUG